GGCUUUGUACGGUACAGUAUUGUGGCCGAUGAGAUUUAUCUGAGGCACGAUUAUUGCUAAUUGAAAAUUUUUCUACACAAAAUAGUGAACUCAUACCCAGAUUUUUUGAAGAAUGUUAUAAAAU
This is a small nuclear RNA of Ochotona princeps (American pika), 124 nucleotides long. Its record names the gene U4. It matches the Rfam family "U4 spliceosomal RNA". From Rfam's summary of the family: U4 small nuclear RNA (U4 snRNA) is a component of the major U2-dependent spliceosome. The structure of U4 snRNA from yeast and human has been reported. U4 snRNA presents a k-turn RNA motif in the 5p-SL related to recognition of Snu13 protein. Lineage: Eukaryota; Metazoa; Chordata; Mammalia; Lagomorpha; Ochotonidae. The record is from Ensembl.